GUCCUAGUAGCUUAAAAUCUAAAGCACUGGUCUUGUAAACCAAAAAUGAGACUUUCCCCUCCUAGGACA
This 69-nucleotide transfer RNA is filed under the name Podarcis siculus (Italian wall lizard). RNAcentral describes it as "tRNA-Thr". It matches the Rfam family "tRNA". Rfam says of the family: Transfer RNA (tRNA) molecules are approximately 80 nucleotides in length. Their secondary structure includes four short double-helical elements and three loops (D, anti-codon, and T loops). Lineage: Eukaryota; Metazoa; Chordata; Lepidosauria; Squamata; Lacertidae. The record is from RNAcentral.